RNAcentral lists this long non-coding RNA (1151 nucleotides) under Homo sapiens (human). RNAcentral describes it as "HSALNT0094647". Lineage: Eukaryota; Metazoa; Chordata; Mammalia; Primates; Hominidae. The record is from RNAcentral.
CACCUGACAUCACGCCCGGCUAAUUUUGUAUCUUUAGUAGAAACGGGGUUUCACCAUGUUGACCAGGCUGGUCUCGAACCCCUGAUCUCAGGUGGUCCAAGCUCCUCGGCCUCCCAAAAUGAUGGGAUUAUAGGCGUGAGCCACAGUGCCUGGCUGCCUUUUCUCCUCUUAAUCUGCCUUUUGUCAAUUGAUUUUCACUAACCUUCAGAGAGCAAAGGAAAGUUUUCCCUUCACACAAAGAGUCACUUGAGCCUUCACCAGCUUUGAGAGAUUAUUGACCUAAUAGGCUUCCCCAUUGCCCCCAGUCAAAUGUGAGGUUGGGGUACAGAGGUGAGCCUAGAAUCCACGAUCUAGGGCUCCAGUGCAGGUCCUGUAUUGUGAGUGUGGCCUGUGGGGAGAGCUGAUUACAUCCUGUCUGCUGCUUCUGCAGCUUCUUUUGGGGCAUCAGGGUCCCCAGAAAUCAGAGACUCAACAAAGCAUGGAAAUACAGGGCAGUCCGCAUAGAAUGAACCUGAAGACCCAGCACCAAGCUCAGUGAUAUGGCAUAAUGGUUAACAACAGGGAGGCAUGAUAUUCAUGCAAAUGUGGGCAAGCAAAGUGUCAACAGGCCUGUGAGACCAAAGACAGAGUUAGCUACUCCCAGCAAUCAGGAAUUGGUGCACAGACCUAAAAGUCCCAAAAGUGAGUGCAGAUCCCACGUCCUGAGAGGCUCGUUAAAAUGACAGACUCCCCCAGGCUCACCAUUGGAUGUUCAGAUUCAAGGCCCCAGGUAAUUCUGCUUCCACCUGCCGCUGACCAAACUUAGAAAAACUCAAAGUUAGACUGGGAGUGGUGGCUCAUGCCUGCAAUCCCAGCACUUUGGGAGGCCGAGGCGGGCAGAUCACGAGGUCAGGAGAUCGAGACCAUCCUGGCUAACACGGUGAAACCCCGUCUCUACUAAAAAUACAAAAAAUAACCAGGCGUGGUGGUGGGCACCUGUAAUCCCAGCUGCUUGGGAGGCUGAGGCAGGAGAAUGGCGUGAACCCAGGAGGCAGAGGUUGCAGUGAGCUGAGAUCGCACCAAUGCACUCCAGCCUGGGUGACAGAGUGAGACUCCGUCUCAAAAAAAGAAAAACUCAAAGUUGUUGAGGGUUCUCUGAGCUAAAGUCUUGG